Molecule: ribosomal RNA, 265 nt
Filed under: uncultured archaeon
Lineage: Archaea
Description: partial 16S ribosomal RNA
Rfam family: Archaeal small subunit ribosomal RNA
Source: RNAcentral
AGUCACUGACAUUAGAUACCCGCGUAGUCCAGGGUGUAAACGCUGCAGACUUGGUGUUGGAGGCCCUUUGGGGGCAUUCAGUGCCGGAGAGAAGUUGUUAAGUCUGCUACUUGGGGAGUACGUCCGCAAGGAUGAAACUUAAAGGAACUGGCGGGGGAGCACCGCAACGGGAGGAGCGUGCGGUUUAAUUGGAUUCAACACCGUAAAACUCACCAGGGAAGACUGUUACAUGAAGGCCGAGAUGAAGACUCUGCUAGAUUUUCAG